UACACACCGCCCGUCACACCAUGGGAGUGGGUUUCACCAGAAGUAGGUAGUCUAACCGCAAGGAGGACGCUUACCACGGUGAGAUUCAUGACUGGGGUGAAGUCGUAAACAAGGUACC
This 118-nucleotide ribosomal RNA is filed under the name uncultured bacterium. Its description in RNAcentral is "partial 16S ribosomal RNA". It matches the Rfam family "Bacterial small subunit ribosomal RNA", at positions 1384 to 1500 of the family's 1533-position model. The record is from RNAcentral.